GCCGGCACCACCAAGGGCACCAGCUCUUGGGGCCGGUACCAGAGGCUGGCGUGGAGCCUCUGCACGGGUCCGCAGCAGCCACGGCGACAGGAGGCCGAGCUGCCGGCGGGCCCAGCGCGGCCCGCGGGGCCGAAGCCGGGUUCAAUGGAGCCGCGGCAGAGAACGCAGCGGGGGCAGGGGCUGCUGGAACGGCCGCGGACAUCGGGAGCGGGGCCGGAGCCGGGACUGGGGCCGGGGCGGGCCCCAAAAGCGGCGGGCUGGGCUGGUGUGGAGCGGAGAGCCGGGCUAGGGCCGGGCACAGGGACACCGAAGGCGGCUUUUCCUGAUGCUUCCAGGUCCAGUCUUAAGUGCACCAUCCAGUUGAGCUGUGUUGGUUUGUUACUGAUCAAUGUAGUGCUUGUCCUGCCCGCAGGCUCUGGGCUUUUCACUGCCCUGUGGCCUUGGCUCGUGUGUUGGAAGUGUUUGCUGAGACACAGAGUGUUGGUGUUGGGAAGCAGCAGCUCAGUGACUUGGGGCUGCAGCUGCUUUAGGAGUUUCGUCUUUGUGCCUUUUUUUUGUCAAUUCGGUGUGCCCCAGUGAGACAAGGGCUGCAGUGGGUGUUCUGCAGAGAUCCAGCACAAUAUUGCCAUGCAGCAAAAGCAGAGAAAUAAUAACAGCCACAACUGGGCACUGUUCUCACUGGAUGCUCAGUAAAAAAGAGACUCCUUGAAAUAAAGGGCUCAAAGGAAAGUGUUUCCCUUUGGAUGUGUUUCCUUUUGGAUGUGUGAAAUGCAGGAUUGCCGAGUGACAGUCCGCAGAAAUUCAGUCAUUCUUUGUUUGUGGGAACUGCCCUGGAGAAGGAAGUGAGUGCAAAAGCCCCACAAGUCCUACAAAAGCAGAUCCAGACAGGCUGCAGAGCAGGGAUAUCUGGAUGCAGAGUGGGAAUUCUUUGUUCUUCUGGUGCAUUGAAGCAGUUGCCAUUAGGAUUUUAUUUGGUGAUGCAGUCUCCUGAAUUUCUUCUUGUCGGAGUGCCCUUUGUGGGGAGGGGGCAUCACUUGUGGAAGAAUUCUCAAGUAUCUUGGUUUAGGUAAAAUACAGUAACUAAAGUAUUUUUUAUAAUUUUUAUGGAAAAAGUAGUGUGUAGACUUCCUUUGGAAUAAACUGUACUUCUUUAAAUGUUUGCAAAUCCCUGUGUUGUGUGUGUGUGUCUGUGAGCACUCCUGUGUUUUACAGAACACGCUGCAGACUGUAAAUAAAACUACCAGAAAGGUGUUUAAGUCUUGUGGACUGAAUGUACCAUUAAAUGGGAAAGUGAAUAAAUUAUUAACCAGCAGUUGCUAAGUGGAUGCUUCCUGCAAAUAUCUGAAAUCUUUGUGGUGUUUGUGUGCAGGUUUCAGCUGGAGUUGCCCUGGCAUUGCCUCCCAGAGGGGCAGGAUUGCUCCCCAGGAAGUUCUCCAGCCAGAAGUCCCUCUGGAUCCGGAUUAUUUUUUUAAAAAAAGGAACCCCUCCCCAGCCUGGCCAGAGCCGCAGUGUCCUUCAUGUGCCGCUGCCUCACUCGCUGCUGCCGUGCUGGCUCAGGAAUGUGCUCAAAGCCCGGCUAAGCAGGAAUUGUUCCGGGCCUGCUCUGUUUAAUCACUGCCGCCGCGAGCAAAGCUGCCCCUGCUCCUUGAGGGGAGCGCUCGCUGCAGCCCGGCAGGAAAAGAGCCCAGGAAAAGCCGUGCCCUUUGCAGGAGAAGUGCUGGGAGCAGAGGGGAGAGCGGGAAAAGGGAACGAGAGCAGCUGGGCGGGCGGGGCGGCAUCAGCGCUGAUCCCUCCGCGGGCAGGAGCGCAUCACAAAUAGUCCCUCGGGCGGAUCCCUCCGCGGGCGGGGUCGCAUCACCGCUGAUUCCUCUGCGGGCAGGACCGCAUUACAAAUAGUCCCUCGGGGAUCACUCCGCGGCCAGGACCGCAGCACCGCAGGUGCCUCCUGGCGGAUCCCUCUGUUAUAAAUGGUAUUGUGAUGUUGGCUUUUCGCAUGUUACAUCAUUGUUAUGAAUGUGAGGUAAAGAAAUUCAGCCAAAUUAAAUUUAAUAAAGAAAUAGAUUUUA
Molecule: long non-coding RNA, 2066 nt
Organism: Corvus hawaiiensis (hawaiian crow)
Lineage: Eukaryota; Metazoa; Chordata; Aves; Passeriformes; Corvidae
Exons: 2
Source: RefSeq, a predicted model, not a curated record